This 433-nucleotide ribosomal RNA is filed under the name uncultured bacterium. Its description in RNAcentral is "partial 16S ribosomal RNA". It matches the Rfam family "Bacterial small subunit ribosomal RNA", at positions 29 to 507 of the family's 1533-position model. The record is from RNAcentral.
AACGAACGCUGGCGGCAGGCCUAACACAUGCCAGUCGAGCGCGCCCUUCGGGGUGAGCGGCGGACGGGUGAGUAACGCGUGGGAACGUGCCCUUUUCUACGGAAUAGCCUCGGGAAACCGAGAGUAAUACCGUAUACGCCCUUUGGGGGAAAGAUUUAUCGGAAAAGGAUCGGCCCGCGUUGGAUUAGGUAGUUGGUGGGGUAAUGGCCUACCAAGCCGACGAUCCAUAGCUGGUUUGAGAGGAUGAUCAGCCACACUGGGACUGAGACACGGCCCAGACUCCUACGGGCGGCAGCAGUGGGGAAUCUUAGACAAUGGGGGCAACCCUGAUCUAGCCAUGCCGCGUGAGUGAUGAAGGCCUUAGGGUUGUAAAGCUCUUUCAGCUGGGAAGAUAAUGACGGUACCAGCAGAAGAAGCCCCGGCUAACUCCGUG